Molecule: long non-coding RNA, 883 nt
Filed under: Macaca mulatta (Rhesus monkey)
Lineage: Eukaryota; Metazoa; Chordata; Mammalia; Primates; Cercopithecidae
Description: lncRNA (ENSMMUG00000049375.1)
Source: RNAcentral
CUGGGAGGCGGAGGUUACAGUGAGCCAAGAUCACGCCAUUGCACUCCAGCCUGGGUGACAGAACGAGACUCCGUCUCCAAAAAAAAAUAAAAUAAAAUAAAAUUAAAAAAUAAAAAUGUACUGCAAUGUUAUGAUAGUAUGAGCUCAUGUUGCUAGGAAGUGUGUGUGUGUGUGUGUGUGUGUGUGUGUGUGUGUGUGUGUCUGUGUGUCUGGGUUGAAAAAAUAAAGAAUAUGUUCUAAAAUAUUACUAGUGGUUAGGUCUGAGUAGUGUUAAUUGUGGAAAUUUGGGGGAUUUUGUGUGUUUUUCUGUUCUCCAAAUUUUCUUUAUCUUGUCUUUUAUAACGAGAAAAAAAUUCUUCACAAAAAAAUAACUUAAAUAAACAUAUUUUAAGAAGAAACCUUCUCCUCGGUCUCUGGCGCCCAUAACCUUCAGGCUGAAUUAGCGUGUGCUGAGUGGUCAGAGUUCAGGGCUGGAAAGCAGGGUUUGGGUUUUGUUUGUGGUCAGUCCGAGACUAGUGAAGGCUCUCCUUAUCCCUGACAGUCUUCAGAGCCCAGGCUCCGGGGAGUGACAAGACCUUGGAGAGUUAACGAGGACAAGCUUUCCCUGAGAGAAGCAUCCGCCCCCGGGUGCACCUUGUAAAGGACCCAGGCCCAUGCCGGAGCCCACCAGCAGUUAGGCCCGGUCAGUUUCUGCUGCUUUCAACCAAAGAACCAUGUGAUUCACCAUUCAGAUUGGAGAACAGGAGAAAUAAAGGAAGAAAGGAAGCCAGCUUUUAGUGCAGGCCUGCUAUGUACAGGCAUUGGGCUAGGUCUUCUGGAAGAUGGCAGAACCCAAGAGAGAUGAGACAUGAUGAAAACGUAGACAAGACAUUGGAACAUUUUU